AAUUAUAGUUCUCAAUGUCACCACUCAUUGUCACCGGUGUUUGAAAGAUGAAAUUGAUGAGCCUAGGCUUGCGAUUCAGGGGAUUCUAUGGAUAUUGCAUUCUAGCUUUCACUUAGAGUCACCUUUUAAAAUGUUUGAUGAAAAGAGCAAUGGACAGAAUCGAUGAUGGCUUAUGUGGGAAAGUUUUUCCUGUGAAUGUUUUGGAUGAACUUGUGUUAUUCUUGGUUGUUAUAAGGUGGCAUAAUCCUCAUACGGUUUUCGAUGCUUUUACCAUUAUUUCACAGCCAAAGGAUGCCCUUUUGUAGGCUUUUAUUCAAUUCUUAUGUCUGUUGGGCUCCUAUAAAUACUAUCAAACACUUCUCCAAGCAUUUUAGAGACAAAUUUCUUGUUGGUAUGAUCAACAAGUGCUGGCUGUAUCCUCAAUAACUGUGAAUGAUUCCACUUGGUGGUCAGGUAUUUAGCUUUGCAAUUUUUCGUUCAUUAACCAAUAUUUAAUUUCUUUUUCAAGAUACAGAAACACCAGACGCAAUUGCUCAUUAACUAACUUUUACACAUUUUGCAGUUCUUCAACCUAAUAAGAUUGUUUAACAUCUCUAUAUUUCGUGAUUGUAAUUUUUAUAGUCCAUUUUUUUACCAGAUGAAAUUAACAUAGAGACAGCAUGGUUUGACCCUAUACAGUUUGGUGAACAGGGUUGUUCAAAGAUUAAAUAAAAUGGCAUUUGUUUUCAGUUUUUACUAUAGCAUUUGUUUUCUGUAUUCCGUUUUCGUUGCGGAGAUUGAACUACUCUUUGAGUUAUUCUUUUA
Long non-coding RNA from Pistacia vera, 804 nucleotides. RefSeq lists it as uncharacterized. The record is from RefSeq and is a predicted model, not a curated record. The transcript is spliced from 3 exons. NCBI's taxonomy places the organism in Eukaryota, Viridiplantae, Streptophyta, Magnoliopsida, Sapindales, Anacardiaceae.